This 739-nucleotide ribosomal RNA is filed under the name uncultured Enterovibrio sp. Its description in RNAcentral is "bacterial SSU rRNA". It matches the Rfam family "Bacterial small subunit ribosomal RNA", at positions 663 to 1401 of the family's 1533-position model. The record is from RNAcentral. Lineage: Bacteria; Pseudomonadati; Pseudomonadota; Gammaproteobacteria; Vibrionales; Vibrionaceae.
AGAAUUCCAGGUGUAGCGGUGAAAUGCGUAGAGAUCUGGAGGAAUAUCGGUGGCGAAGGCGGCCCCCUGGACAAAGACUGACGCUCAGAUGCGAAAGCGUGGGUAGCAAACAGGAUUAGAUACCCUGGUAGUCCACGCUGUAAACGAUGUCUACUUGAAGGUUGGGAUCUUGAAUUCUGGCCUUCGGAGCUAACGCGUUAAGUAGACCGCCUGGGGAGUACGGUCGCAAGAUUAAAACUCAAAUGAAUUGACGGGGGCCCGCACAAGCGGUGGAGCAUGUGGUUUAAUUCGAUGCAACGCGAAGAACCUUACCUACUCUUGACAUCCAGAGAAGCCAGCAGAGAUGCAGGUGUGCCUUCGGGAANUNUGAGACAGGUGCUGCAUGGCUGUCGUCAGCUCGUGUUGUGAAAUGUUGGGUUAAGUCCCGCAACGAGCGCAACCCUUAUCCUUGUUUGCCAGCACGUAAUGGUGGGAACUCCAGGGAGACUGCCGGUGAUAAACCGGAGGAAGGUGGGGACGACGUCAAGUCAUCAUGGCCCUUACGAGUAGGGCUACACACGUGCUACAAUGGUGCAUACAGAGGGAAGCAAGAGCGCGAGCUGGAGCGGAUCCCAAAAAGUGCAUCGUAGUCCGGAUUGGAGUCUGCAACUCGACUCCAUGAAGUCGGAAUCGCUAGUAAUCGUGGAUCAGAAUGCCACGGUGAAUACGUUCCCGGGCCUUGUACACACCGCCCGUCAUC